Long non-coding RNA from Heterocephalus glaber (naked mole-rat), 1173 nucleotides. Lineage: Eukaryota; Metazoa; Chordata; Mammalia; Rodentia; Bathyergidae. The record is from Ensembl.
CAAAGAUUUCAGAGCCAGGUGGGAGGGUGCGAUGCAAGAGGCUUAUCUCGGGCCUGCAAAGUGAAUAAUUAGUGGCAAGGGCUCCUAAAGAGGCCACGCCCUCAGAGGAAAGGUGGGCUGAGGACAACCUCCUGCUAUCAAAAGCAGAUAGUGAGGGUGCUGGCUUCGGCAGCACAUAUACUAAAAGCAGAUAGUGAGGAAAGAUGUUUUCUUGAGUCUGUGGAGGGCGAUAAAACAUCUCCCCCAGGAGUGGUAGCGUCAGGCUCACCCUCACAGAGGCUUUCGGCCCACAUGUGCAUUCAUUUUGUAGCCCAGAAAAGCUGUUAGUUAGAAAGUCAGUGGUGCCCAGAGCAGCCUAGCAAGAACAAGGGAAAAAUGGAAACAUAGGGACCCAGCAAAUGUGAGCUCACACAGAAAGCAAAAACCUACAAGAAAAGAAACAACCAUGAUUGAGAGGCAGCAGGCACAAUCUGCGACUACAGAGGCCGAAGACCUGACAACUGAUCUCACAGGAUACAGGGUCCCCACUGCCUGGGGACCACAGCACCUAUCAUCAGAGCCCAAGGUCCCUCCAUCCGGGGUUCCAGGUAAACACACAGAUACCACAUGUCCCUUCAGGAUGGUGGGAGUACUUAACCCUAGUUCCUGGGAGCCAGACCACUUCCUGCAUUCCUGGUGCUGCUCUGGGAUUUCCAGGGAGCAGAUGCCAAGACAGGACCCAGCGUGGAGGAUUUUUAAUAGGGGAACCACCUGUGUGGGAGAAAGCAGGGAGGUGGCCCUAAGGCUGGGAAAGUGCAACCAGGGUGAGGUUCUCACCGUGAGUACAGUAGAGUGGAAAGGCAGUGUGCUGGUCAUGCCAUCUGAGAAAAGCCUGGCAUGGCCUCCAGGGAACCCUUCUACCAUUUCUCAUCAGAGGACCGUCCGAUGUGCCAACAACAAGCCUGCAGAGAUCGCAAUCCUGGGGAGCAGCCCAAAGCUUUGGUGUAAAUGAACCACUGGAUUUCAGCUCUCAUUUGCUGGGCCUUUGGACAAUUCCUCUCCCUACAGCAAGCUCAGUAGGUAUACAAAACACCCUAUGUAACAACUUUUGCCUACAGUCAAAUAAAGAUUGCAGCCCCAACAUUGUAACUGUUUUUUUCAAGGACAUUUGAUAUGUUAACAAAAGAUUAAGUA